RNAcentral lists this ribosomal RNA (848 nucleotides) under Sphingobacterium faecium. Its description in RNAcentral is "bacterial SSU rRNA". It matches the Rfam family "Bacterial small subunit ribosomal RNA", at positions 195 to 1048 of the family's 1533-position model. Lineage: Bacteria; Pseudomonadati; Bacteroidota; Sphingobacteriia; Sphingobacteriales; Sphingobacteriaceae. The record is from RNAcentral.
UGAUGAUCAAAUAUUUAUAGGAUAUGGAUGGGCUCGCGUGACAUUAGCUAGUAGGAGGGGUAACGGCCCACCAAGGCUACGAUGUCUAGGGGCUCUGAGAGGAGAAUCCCCCACACUGGUACUGAGACACGGACCAGACUCGUACGGGAGGCAGCAGUAAGGAAUAUUGGUCAAUGGAGGGAACUCUGAACCAGCCAUGCCGCGUGCAGGAUGACUGCCCUAUGGGUUGUAAACUGCUUUUGUCAGGGAAUAAACCUUUCCACGUGUGGGAAGCUGAAUGUACCUGAAGAAUAAGGAUCGGCUAACUCCGUGCCAGCAGCCGCGGUAAUACGGAGGAUCCAAGCGUUAUCCGGAUUUAUUGGGUUUAAAGGGUGCGUAGGCGGUCCUAUAAGUCAGUGGUGAAAGACGGCAGCUUAACUGUCGCAGUGCCUUUGAUACUGUAGGACUUGAAUCUAUUUGAAGUGGGCGGAAUAAGACAAGUAGCGGUGAAAUGCAUAGAUAUGUCUUAGAACUCCGAUUGCGAAGGCAGCUCACUAAGUUAGUAUUGACGCUGAUGCACGAAAGCGUGGGGAUCAAACAGGAUUAGAUACCCUGGUAGUCCACGCCCUAAACGAUGAUAACUCGAUGUUUGCGAUACACAGUAAGCGUCCAAGCGAAAGCGUUAAGUUAUCCACCUGGGGAGUACGGUCGCAAGAUUGAAACUCAAAGGAAUUGACGGGGGCCCGCACAAGCGGAGGAGCAUGUGGUUUAAUUCGAUGAUACGCGAGGAACCUUACCCGGGCUUGAAAGUUAGUGAAUGAUCCAGAGACGGAUCAGUCCUUCGGGACACGAAACUAGGUGCUGCAUGG